AGCGAACGCUGGCGGCGUGCUUAACACAUGCAAGUCGAGCGCCCCGCAAGGGGAGCGGCAGACGGGUGAGUAACACGUGGGAACGUGACUUUUGGUUUGGAACAACCCAGCGAAACUUGGGCUAAUAUCGGACAAGCCAGUACGGGGCAAGGUUUAUCGCCAAAAGGUCAGCCCGCGUCUGAUUAGCUAGUUGGUGGGGUAAGGGCCCACCAAGGCUACGAUCAGUAGCUGGUCUGAGAGGAAGAUCAGCCACAUUGGGACUGAGACACGGCCCAAACUCCUACGGGAGGCAGCAGUGGGUAAUAUUGGACAAUGGGGGCAACCAUGAUCCAGCCAUUCCGGGUGAGUGAUGAAGGCCUUAGGGUUGUAUAGCUCUUUUAGCAGGGAAGAUAAUGACGGUACCUGCAGAAAAAGCCCCGGCUAACUUCGUGCCAGCCGCCGCCGUAA
Molecule: ribosomal RNA, 447 nt
Filed under: uncultured bacterium
Lineage: Bacteria
Description: partial 16S ribosomal RNA
Rfam family: Bacterial small subunit ribosomal RNA
Source: RNAcentral